AUCACUCAAGAUGGCUGCCCCCAUCAAGAUGACCGGGGUGUGCCGGGGGGAAAGGGGCAGCAUGAUGGUCUGAGAUGGUGUAGCGUCGGACCAUGUGGAAGUUUCUGAGGCUGGGGAGCCGGAUAAUGGGGGGUGGGGCCCGUUGGGGGGUAAAGGGGCAAUAGCGUCCUUUCACAGGCUAACCUCGGCCCUUCCCAGUCCUCUGGACUAAAAUGGGGAACACAUUGGGCCUGGCACCAAUGGGGACUUUGCCCCGCCGGAGCCCCCGCCGAGAGGAACCCCUGCCCAACCCUGGGAGCUUCGAUGAGCUGCACCGGCUAUGCAAAGACGCAGCAGGCCAAGUUCUUGACAUGGCAGUUUGAUGGCGAGUAUCGGGGAGAUGACUACACAGCCACUCUGACCCUAGGAAAUCCUGACCUGAUUGGGGAGUCGGUGAUCAUGGUUGCUCACUUCCUGCAGAGCCUCACUCAUCGGCUGGUGCUGGGAGGAGAGCUAGUUUAUCACCGGCGGCCAGGCGAAGAGGGGGCCAUCUUGACACUGGCUGGGAAGUACUCGGCUGUACACUGGGUAGCUACAUUGAAUGUGGGAUCAGGCGGGGCCCAUGCAAGUUACUACCACAGGGCAAAUGAACAGGUUCAGGUUGGAGUGGAGUUUGAGGCAAACACAAGGCUACAAGACACAACAUUCUCCUUUGGUUACCACCUGACUCUGCCCCAGGCCAACAUGGUAUUUAGAGGCUUGGUGGAUAGUAACUGGUGUGUAGGUGCUGUGCUGGAGAAGAAGAUGCCCCCUCUGCCUGUCACCCUAGCCCUUGGAGCCUUCCUCAAUCACUGGCGCAACAGAUUCCAUUGUGGCUUCAGCAUCACUGUGGGCUGAGGUUGUCCAGAGCCAGCCCCCACAGCAGCUGGAACCUCUGAGUCAGGUGCCCUAGGGCCAGAGACUAGGCCCCUCUUCAGAGCCCACCUUGCUGGGUGAUCUCUAGGACCCAGGAGCAGAGUGGUGGACAGGACCAUGCCCUCCUCAGAACUGGAGCUGCCACAGGGGCAGUUGAUGAGGCAGAGGUUUGAGGAUCCCCCCUCUGCUACCAGCCCCAGUAUCACCUUCCCCAUGCUCUUGUGGCUGUGGACUAAGGGGGAAGGAUUAAGGGGUAUGGCUGAAUUCCCCCGGCACCCCUUGCCCUCAGGCUUCCUUCUUCCUUUCCCUUUGGUUAAUCCUGCAUGGGAUUAGCUGACCAUCCUGUUUUCCAUCCCAGAGCCUCCCAAGGCUGGGAAAGUAGGGCUGAAGGGCUAGAUGUUUGGUCUCAGGAAGUGGGGCCCACCCAUUCCCAGAAGGAGCUUCUUUACCUCUUAGCCCUGAGGUUUCCUUCUUCCCAUCUUCUGUGCUUCCAGAGAACAACUUUGUUCCUAUGGUCACCCCCACUAUCCCCAUGACCGCAUGAAGAGGCAGUUAUUGCUUUAGUCUUUCAUUGCAACCACUGGGCUCCCUUUGAACCCGGCCCAAUCUUUGGUCCCAGCAUUUUCCCACUCCAGUGUAUCCAGGGUGUCCCAGGUGAGCUGGGGAAGGAAGUGAGCCUGGCCUCAGCUGCAGAUCUCCUGGAGCAGCGGCAUCAUGGCAGACAGGCCCUGGAUGUGCUGGAUUUGGUACCCGUAGGCCUCAUUAAUGCUCCGGAGCUCAGCUAGCAGGCCUAGCAACUUCGCAUACAGAAACCUUUGGAGGAAGUAGUGGGGUUGCCAGGAAAACAGGAGGGAAAUAAGGCAGUUGGGAGUCUUGUCUCUAGGCCCUGAUCCCCUGAACUAUUCCUCAGUGAAGCCAGGUCUGAACAUUAGAGAAAAUCAUGCUCUGGUAUGACAGACUAUCAGAGGUUCCAAAGGUCCUCCAGGGGGCCUCGGUCUGACACUGUCUUCUCUCACCAUGCUCAGUUUUUUCUGAACCCAGAGCUCUGAGAGCCGAGUGUGAAGAAAGCUCCAGACUUGGCCAGAACUCCAACCAUGUGGAAUCUGAGGGCCUGGCCUUCUAGAGCAGGUUCUAGAAGGUGGAUGUGUUCUAUGGUAUAAAGCAUCCCCUUUCUGGCCAAACUAGCUCUUGGAGGAACGAGCAAAACAGAAGCAGUGCAUACCUCAGAGCCUGGAUAAAUCACAGACUAUUGAACCUGGAACUGGCUUUGACCAUGAAACUGUGAAUGGCCCUAACUUCAAGGGAAAUGAGAAAUCGAAGGAAUUGGCCCAAUGGCGAGGAGAGGAAAGGCCAAGGGAAGAGAAAAGUCUGCGUUAGUCUGGAGAAGUUGGACUAGUGAGGUAAUGGAUGUCAUCAAUCUCAGGAAUGCUAUUACCCAGAGCCUCUGAGCUACUACUUUGCAUCUGUACUGAAUAAAAAAAAAUCUGGAAAAAGUGAGAUG
Molecule: small RNA, 2395 nt
Filed under: Pan troglodytes (chimpanzee)
Lineage: Eukaryota; Metazoa; Chordata; Mammalia; Primates; Hominidae
Description: processed transcript
Source: RNAcentral